RNAcentral lists this long non-coding RNA (710 nucleotides) under Phoenix dactylifera (date palm). Its description in RNAcentral is "long non-coding RNA (PDAC_LNC001857)". Lineage: Eukaryota; Viridiplantae; Streptophyta; Magnoliopsida; Arecales; Arecaceae. The record is from RNAcentral.
CAUUACUGUCUCAACAAACAGCAAACCACCUUUGAGAAAGCUACUUAUCUGGUAUAGGCAUUAAUGGAGAAAGAUCCAGUUUACAGACAUUGAAACAUAUAAUAUACGAAGAAAGCCAAACAUCUUUCUAAACCGAAUCAUCCGAGGAGCUUUGACCUUGGCCAGCCAUGCCACGAGUCUACUUGUUAUGGAGAGGAUUCGAACCAGUUGGUACUGCCCUCUUCUCCUCCAAAGUAGCGUUGAUAGAAGAGUAGUAAGUAGGAGAAGGAGAAGAAGAUAUCGAGCCGAUCUCUUGAGCCAACGUGACGGAUGCAGCGACAACGGAGACCAAGACCAUCGUUAAGAUGAUGACUCUGCCGAGAUUGCCCAUCGGCGAUGAUCCCUGAGUAGUCGAUAAAAAUGAGAGCUUGUUGGGGACUCACCUUUGCUGGUUAUGGAUUAUAAUGGUGGAGAGGAAGGGAGUACAAAGGAGAGGCAGAAGAGAUAGUAAGAGCUCUGCCAUCUCUAAAGGAACAGGAAAGAAGUUGGGGGGGAGGAGUAGUAAAUGGACCGCCAGAAAGCUACCCCAGAGGCCUUUGAUCGCUGACCGCAUGAACAUUUAGUGCUCAUCUCUAAAGGGAACAAAAGGCUCCUCUUUUUGCACUCUUGUUAGCCCCACCAACUCUUAACUCUCUCUCUCUCUCUCUCUCUCUCUCUCUCUCUCUCUCUCU